This 494-nucleotide ribosomal RNA is filed under the name uncultured bacterium. RNAcentral's name for it is "partial 16S ribosomal RNA". It matches the Rfam family "Bacterial small subunit ribosomal RNA", at positions 28 to 507 of the family's 1533-position model. The record is from RNAcentral.
GACGAACGCUGGCGGCGUGCUUAACACAUGCGAGUCGAACGGUGAAGCGCCUUCCUUUUUGGUGGGUGUGGAUGAGUGGCGAACGGGUGAGUAACACGUGAGUAACCUGCCCCCUUCUUCUGGAUAACCGCAUGAAAGUGUGGCUAAUACGGGAUAUUCUGGGUCUGUCGCAUGAUGGGUCUGGGAAAGAUAUUGUUUCGGUGGGGGAUGGGCUCGCGGCCUAUCAGCUUGUUGGUGGGGUGAUGGCCUACCAAGGCGGUGACGGGUAGCCGGCCUGAGAGGGUGGACGGUCACACUGGGACUGAGACACGGCCCAGACUCCUACGGGGGGCAGCAGUGGGGAAUAUUGCACAGUGGGCGCAAGCCUGAUGCAGCGACGCCGCGUGAGGGAUGGAGGCCUUCGGGUUGUGAACCUCUUUCGCCAGUGAAGCAGGCCUGCCUCGUUUGUGGGUGGGUUGACGGUAGCUGGAUAAGAAGCGCCGGCUAACUACGUG